This 167-nucleotide ribosomal RNA is filed under the name uncultured bacterium. RNAcentral describes it as "partial 16S ribosomal RNA". It matches the Rfam family "Bacterial small subunit ribosomal RNA", at positions 340 to 524 of the family's 1533-position model. The record is from RNAcentral.
UACGGGAGGCAGCAGUGGGGAAUCUUAGACAAUGGGCGCAAGCCUGAUCUAGCGAUGCCGCGUGAGUGACGAAGGCCUUAGGGUCGUAAAGCUCUUUCGCCAGGGAUGAUAAUGACAGUACCUGGUAAAGAAACCCCGGCUAACUCCGUGCCAGCAGCCGCGGUAAU